GUGAACUGCGGAAGGAUCAUU
Molecule: ribosomal RNA, 21 nt
Filed under: Boletus edulis
Lineage: Eukaryota; Fungi; Basidiomycota; Agaricomycetes; Boletales; Boletaceae
Also listed under: 44 other names
Description: partial small subunit ribosomal RNA
Source: RNAcentral